Molecule: RNA transcript, 966 nt
Organism: Malus domestica (apple)
Lineage: Eukaryota; Viridiplantae; Streptophyta; Magnoliopsida; Rosales; Rosaceae
Gene name: putative inactive methylesterase 20
Source: RefSeq, a predicted model, not a curated record
GAGAGAUGCAAACCAAAGGAAAUAGAGAGUAAAUGAUAUAGAAUGGGAAACAUGAUACAGAAGCGUUUUGUUGUUUUUCUUUUAUUUAUUUGCUUAGCAAAACAUUGUACCUCAUCCCCAUCCCCAUCCCAACCCCAACCCAACUUUCACAACGAACCCCAAAUUCCAACUGGGAUUAACAUUUUGUGUUGAUACAUGGAGCCUGUCAUGGAGCAUGGAGUUGGUAUAAGGUGGCGACUCUCCUGAAGGACUCGGGUCACAAUGUCACAGCUCUAGACUUGGGAGUAUCAGGGAUCAAACCGAUCCAGGUACAGCAACUCCCUUCGUUAUCGGAAUACGUCAAACCUUUGACGGAGUUCAUGGUGUCACUAACACCAGAGGAGAAGGUAAUCCUUGUAGCUCACAGCUUGGGUGGAGCCAUAAUAUCUAUUUUCAAGGAGAGGUAAGUGCAGAGGUUACCAAAGGAUUGGACUUUAUUGUCAGAUAUGAUAACGGGACCAACAACCCCGCAACCUCCGCUAUGUUUAGGCCUAAGUUCUUGGCAACCAACUUGUACCAGCUCUCACCACCACAAGAUUUAACUCUAGGAUUAUCGUUGGUGAGAUUUACUCCUCUAUACGAUUAUGAUGUAAUAAAGCUCACGACAGAGAAAUACGAAUCAGUUCCUAGAGUAUUCAUCGUGUCCGACCAAGACCAUACAAUAGUGUCGGAUGUGCAAAAUUACAUGAUUAAAACAAUCCGCCAAAAGAAGUGAAAGUGAUAAGCGGUUCUGAUCACAUGGUCAUGUUCUCUAAACCCAUGGAGUUGUUCUCCCAUCUCCAAAAUAUUGCUGAGAAAUGUUCAUGAACAUGCAUGCAUGGUUAAUUCAGCCAUUCUAGUUUGCGCCGCAUGCACCAUAAUACUAUAUAUAAUGUAUGUAUGAAUAAUUAAAUUAAUAAACUAAACAAAGUUGCUAUUUUCAACCCC